This 406-nucleotide ribosomal RNA is filed under the name uncultured bacterium. RNAcentral describes it as "partial 16S ribosomal RNA". It matches the Rfam family "Bacterial small subunit ribosomal RNA", at positions 30 to 526 of the family's 1533-position model. The record is from RNAcentral.
AUUGAACGCUGGCGGCAGGCCUAACACAUGCAAGUCGAACGAGUGGCGGACGGGUGAGUAAUGUCUGGGAAACUGCCUGAUGGAGGGGGAUAACUACUGGAAACGGUAGCUAAUACCGCCUACUCUCGGUUUUGCCCAGAUGGGAUUAGCUAGUAGGUGGGGUAAAGGCUCACCUGGGCGACGAUCCCUAGCUGGUCUGAGAGGAGGACCGGCCAAGCUGGAACUGAGACACGGUCCAGAUUCCUACGGAGGGCAGCAGUGGGGAAUAUUGGCCAAUGGGCGCAAGCCUGAUGCAGCCAUGCCGCGUGUAUGAAGAAGGCCUUCGGGUUGUAAAGUACGUUCAGCGGGGAGGCGUUACCCGCAGAAGAAGCACCGGCUAACUCCGUGCCAGCAGCCGCGGUAAUAC